CCCCAACGCCGCCCAAAUCAUUGGUUGGCACCUCCGGAUGGGCUAGUAAAACUCAAUCUAGACGCAGCGGUGGGACGAUCGCUUGGAGCAGUGGCAGCUGUCUGCAGAGAUCGAGAUGGUGUUUUCAUGGGAGCAUCGGCGGUGGUUUUCCCCAACUUGUCAGAUCCCGGCAUUCUAGAGACACUUGCUAUCAGGGAGGCACUGGCUUUAUCCGAUGAUCUCUACGUCCGAAGGAUCCAUGUGGCAUCGGAUUGCAAGGUGGCCGUCGACGAUAUCCAUCAGCAAUAUAAAGGGAGCUACGGUGCAAUUGUGCAGGAGAUUAUGCAAUAUAAAUCGUCCUUUGAAACUUGUAAUAUUAUUCAUGAGUUUAGGAGCUCGAAUAUCGAGGCUCACAAACUGGCAAAGCACGCUUUAUCUCUUGGGACUGGCCACCAUGCUUGGUUAGGCCAGCCCAACGAACUUGAUUUCGUCCGUGUAAACAUUGUGACGAUCUAA
This 495-nucleotide ribosomal RNA is filed under the name Triticum aestivum (bread wheat). RNAcentral describes it as "partial small subunit ribosomal RNA". Lineage: Eukaryota; Viridiplantae; Streptophyta; Magnoliopsida; Poales; Poaceae. The record is from RNAcentral.